AUUGAACGCUGGCGGAAUGCUUUACACAUGCAAGUCGAACGGCAGCACGGGUGCUUGCACCUGGUGGCGAGUGGCGAACGGGUGAGUAAUACAUCGGAACGUACCCAGUCAUGGGGGAUAACUAACCGAAAGGUUAGCUAAUACCCCAUACGCCCUGAGGGGGCAAGCGGGGGACCGUAAGGCCUCGCGCAAUUGGAGCGGCCGAUGUUUGAUUAGUUAGUUGGAGAGGUACAGGCUCACCAAGGCGACGAGCAGUAGCAGGUCUGAGAGGAUGAUCUGCCGCACUGGAAGUGAGACACGGUCCAGACUCCUACGGGAGGCAGCAGAGAGGAAGUGUGGACAAUGGGCGAAAGCCUGAUCCAGCCAGUCCGCGUGAGGGAAGAGGGCCUUCGGGUUGUAAAGCUCUGUCGGAAGUGAAGAAACGCUCUGGGAUAAUACUCCGGGGUAAGGGCGGUACCUGAAGAAGAAGCACCGGCUAACUACGGGCCAGCCGCCGCGGUAG
This 502-nucleotide ribosomal RNA is filed under the name uncultured bacterium. RNAcentral describes it as "partial 16S ribosomal RNA". It matches the Rfam family "Bacterial small subunit ribosomal RNA", at positions 29 to 523 of the family's 1533-position model. The record is from RNAcentral.